AUUCAAAUAGCUUAUUUAGAGCAUAAUAUUGAAGAUAUUAAGGUAAUAAAAUUUAUUUUUGAAUA
RNAcentral lists this transfer RNA (65 nucleotides) under Cucujoidea sp. 46 KM-2017. RNAcentral's name for it is "tRNA-Phe". Lineage: Eukaryota; Metazoa; Arthropoda; Insecta; Coleoptera. The record is from RNAcentral.